UUAAGCGACUAAGCGUACACGGUGGAUGCCCUGGCAGUCAGAGGCGAUGAAGGACGUGCUAAUCUGCGAUAAGCGUCGGUAAGGUGAUAUGAACCGUUAUAACCGGCGAUUUCCGAAUGGGGAAACCCAGUGUGUUUCGACACACUAUCAUUAACUGAAUCCAUAGGUUAAUGAGGCGAACCGGGGGAACUGAAACAUCUAAGUACCCCGAGGAAAAGAAAUCAACCGAGAUUCCCCCAGUAGCGGCGAGCGAACGGGGAGCAGCCCAGAGCCUGAAUCAGUGUGUGUGUUAGUGGAAGCGUCUGGAAAGGCGCGCGAUACAGGGUGACAGCCCCGUACACAAAAAUGCACAUGCUGUGAGCUCGAUGAGUAGGGCGGGACACGUGGUAUCCUGUCUGAAUAUGGGGGGACCAUCCUCCAAGGCUAAAUACUCCUGACUGACCGAUAGUGAACCAGUACCGUGAGGGAAAGGCGAAAAGAACCCCGGCGAGGGGAGUGAAAAAGAACCUGAAACCGUGUACGUACAAGCAGUGGGAGCACGCUUAGGCGUGUGACUGCGUACCUUUUGUAUAAUGGGUCAGCGACUUAUAUUCUGUAGCAAGGUUAACCGAAUAGGGGAGCCGAAGGGAAACCGAGUCUUAACUGGGCGUUAAGUUGCAGGGUAUAGACCCGAAACCCGGUGAUCUAGCCAUGGGCAGGUUGAAGGUUGGGUAACACUAACUGGAGGACCGAACCGACUAAUGUUGAAAAAUUAGCGGAUGACUUGUGGCUGGGGGUGAAAGGCCAAUCAAACCGGGAGAUAGCUGGUUCUCCCCGAAAGCUAUUUAGGUAGCGCCUCGUGAAUUCAUCUCCGGGGGUAGAGCACUGUUUCGGCAAGGGGGUCAUCCCGACUUACCAACCCGAUGCAAACUGCGAAUACCGGAGAAUGUUAUCACGGGAGACACACGGCGGGUGCUAACGUCCGUCGUGAAGAGGGAAACAACCCAGACCGCCAGCUAAGGUCCCAAAGUCAUGGUUAAGUGGGAAACGAUGUGGGAAGGCCCAGACAGCCAGGAUGUUGGCUUAGAAGCAGCCAUCAUUUAAAGAAAGCGUAAUAGCUCACUGGUCGAGUCGGCCUGCGCGGAAGAUGUAACGGGGCUAAACCAUGCACCGAAGCUGCGGCAGCGACACUAUGUGUUGUUGGGUAGGGGAGCGUUCUGUAAGCCUGUGAAGGUGUGCUGUGAGGCAUGCUGGAGGUAUCAGAAGUGCGAAUGCUGACAUAAGUAACGAUAAAGCGGGUGAAAAGCCCGCUCGCCGGAAGACCAAGGGUUCCUGUCCAACGUUAAUCGGGGCAGGGUGAGUCGACCCCUAAGGCGAGGCCGAAAGGCGUAGUCGAUGGGAAACAGGUUAAUAUUCCUGUACUUGGUGUUACUGCGAAGGGGGGACGGAGAAGGCUAUGUUGGCCGGGCGACGGUUGUCCCGGUUUAAGCGUGUAGGCUGGUUUUCCAGGCAAAUCCGGAAAAUCAAGGCUGAGGCGUGAUGACGAGGCACUACGGUGCUGAAGCAACAAAUGCCCUGCUUCCAGGAAAAGCCUCUAAGCAUCAGGUAACAUCAAAUCGUACCCCAAACCGACACAGGUGGUCAGGUAGAGAAUACCAAGGCGCUUGAGAGAACUCGGGUGAAGGAACUAGGCAAAAUGGUGCCGUAACUUCGGGAGAAGGCACGCUGAUAUGUAGGUGAAGCGACUUGCUCGUGGAGCUGAAAUCAGUCGAAGAUACCAGCUGGCUGCAACUGUUUAUUAAAAACACAGCACUGUGCAAACACGAAAGUGGACGUAUACGGUGUGACGCCUGCCCGGUGCCGGAAGGUUAAUUGAUGGGGUCAGCGCAAGCGAAGCUCUUGAUCGAAGCCCCGGUAAACGGCGGCCGUAACUAUAACGGUCCUAAGGUAGCGAAAUUCCUUGUCGGGUAAGUUCCGACCUGCACGAAUGGCGUAAUGAUGGCCAGGCUGUCUCCACCCGAGACUCAGUGAAAUUGAACUCGCUGUGAAGAUGCAGUGUACCCGCGGCAAGACGGAAAGACCCCGUGAACCUUUACUAUAGCUUGACACUGAACAUUGAGCCUUGAUGUGUAGGAUAGGUGGGAGGCUUGGAAGUGUGGACGCCAGUCUGCAUGGAGCCGACCUUGAAAUACCACCCUUUAAUGUUUGAUGUUCUAACGUUGACCCGUAAUCCGGGUUGCGGACAGUGUCUGGUGGGUAGUUUGACUGGGGCGGUCUCCUCCUAAAGAGUAACGGAGGAGCACGAAGGUUGGCUAAUCCUGGUCGGACAUCAGGAGGUUAGUGCAAUGGCAUAAGCCAGCUUGACUGCGAGCGUGACGGCGCGAGCAGGUGCGAAAGCAGGUCAUAGUGAUCCGGUGGUUCUGAAUGGAAGGGCCAUCGCUCAACGGAUAAAAGGUACUCCGGGGAUAACAGGCUGAUACCGCCCAAGAGUUCAUAUCGACGGCGGUGUUUGGCACCUCGAUGUCGGCUCAUCACAUCCUGGGGCUGAAGUAGGUCCCAAGGGUAUGGCUGUUCGCCAUUUAAAGUGGUACGCGAGCUGGGUUUAGAACGUCGUGAGACAGUUCGGUCCCUAUCUGCCGUGGGCGCUGGAGAACUGAGGGGGGCUGCUCCUAGUACGAGAGGACCGGAGUGGACGCAUCACUGGUGUUCGGGUUGUCAUGCCAAUGGCACUGCCCGGUAGCUAAAUGCGGAAGAGAUAAGUGCUGAAAGCAUCUAAGCACGAAACUUGCCCCGAGAUGAGUUCUCCCUGACUCCUUGAGAGUCCUGAAGGAACGUUGAAGACGACGACGUUGAUAGGCCGGGUGUGUAAGCGCAGCGAUGCGUUGAGCUAACCGGUACUAAUGAACCGUGAGGCUUAACCUU
RNAcentral lists this ribosomal RNA (2901 nucleotides) under Escherichia coli. RNAcentral describes it as "bacterial LSU rRNA". It matches the Rfam family "Bacterial large subunit ribosomal RNA". The record is from RNAcentral. Lineage: Bacteria; Pseudomonadati; Pseudomonadota; Gammaproteobacteria; Enterobacterales; Enterobacteriaceae.